RNAcentral lists this small nuclear RNA (191 nucleotides) under Macaca fascicularis (crab-eating macaque). RNAcentral describes it as "U2 spliceosomal RNA (ENSMFAG00000062989.1)". It matches the Rfam family "U2 spliceosomal RNA". From Rfam's summary of the family: U2 is a small nuclear RNA (snRNA) component of the spliceosome (involved in pre-mRNA splicing). Lineage: Eukaryota; Metazoa; Chordata; Mammalia; Primates; Cercopithecidae. The record is from Rfam by way of RNAcentral.
AUCGCUUCUCAGCCUUUUGGCUAAGAUCAAGUGUAGUAUCUGUUCUUAUCAGUUUAAUAUCUGAUACGUCCUCUAUCCGAGGACAAUAUAUUAAAUGGAUUUUUGGAGCAGGGAGAUGGAAUAGGAGCUUGCUCCGUCCACUCCACGCAUCGACCUGGUAUUGCAGUACCUCCAGGAACGGUGCACCCCCU